RNAcentral lists this ribosomal RNA (810 nucleotides) under uncultured bacterium. RNAcentral's name for it is "bacterial SSU rRNA". It matches the Rfam family "Bacterial small subunit ribosomal RNA", at positions 8 to 796 of the family's 1533-position model. The record is from RNAcentral.
AGAGUUUGAUCAUGGCUCAGAACGAACGCUGGCGGCGUGGAUAAGACAUGCAAGUCGAACGGGACUAUUUCUAGUAGCAAUACCGGGAAUAGUUUAGUGGCGAACGGGUGCUUAACACGUGGGCAACCUGCCAUGAAGUGGGGGAUAGCUCGCCGAAAGGCGAAUUAAUACCGCAUGUGAUUAGAGAGGACAUCCUUUCGAAAUUAAAGUCGGGGCAACCUGACGCUUCUUGUGGGGCCCGCGGCCUAUCAGCUAGUUGGUGAGGUAACGGCUCACCAAGGCUUUGACGGGUAGCUGGUCUGAGAGGACGACCAGCCACACUGGGACUGAGACACGGCCCAGACACCUACGGGUGGCAGCAGUCGAGAAUUUUUGACAAUGGGGGAAACCCUGAUCGAGCGACGCCGCGUGGAGGAUGAAGGUCUUCGGAUUGUAAACUCCUGUCAUUGGGGAACAAUGCACAGAUAUUAACUGUAUUUGUGUUGAUAGUACCCGAAGAGGAAGGGACGGCUAACUCUGUGCCAGCAGCCGCGGUAAUACAGAGGUCCCAAGCGUUGUUCGGAUUCAUUGGGCGUAAAGGGUGCGUAGGCGGCGCGGUAAGUCGGGUGUGAAAUCUCGGGGCUUAACUCCGAAACUGCAUUCGAUACUGCCGUGCUUGAGGACUGGAGAGGAGACUGGAAUUUACGGUGUAGCGGUGAAAUGCGUAGAUAUCGUAAGGAAGACCAGUGGCGAAGGCGGGUCUCUGGACAGUUCCUGACGCUGAGGCACGAAGGCCAGGGGAGCAAACGGGAUUAGAUACCCCCGUAGUCC